GGGUCUUUAGCUCAGUAGUAGAGCGGCAGACUUCGGUUCUGCAGGUCGCGGGUUCAAUCCCCGUAGGACUCU
This 72-nucleotide transfer RNA is filed under the name Sporisorium scitamineum. RNAcentral's name for it is "tRNA-Arg (TCG) (tRNA-Arg-TCG-2-1)". It matches the Rfam family "tRNA". From Rfam's summary of the family: Transfer RNA (tRNA) molecules are approximately 80 nucleotides in length. Their secondary structure includes four short double-helical elements and three loops (D, anti-codon, and T loops). The record is from RNAcentral. Lineage: Eukaryota; Fungi; Basidiomycota; Ustilaginomycetes; Ustilaginales; Ustilaginaceae.